AAGCACUUUUUGAAGGGAACACAGAAAGUAAAACCAGGUAUUUCUAAACAUAAUUUAAUAACUUUUUUCAUACAUUACAUCUUCCCUAGAAAUCCCCAGUUCUAUUGGAUUAUUUCCAGUCCUUUUUGACCUACAAGUUGAGCAGCACAAAGCAGGUUUUACAUCACAAUAAUGGAGAAACUAUCUGCUGAUAUUGGUUGGUUGAAUGCCACAAAGGGGCAGACAGAAAGACUCCUUGAAAUGAGGAAAGAAAAAUAGGAUCAAUAUGCCAUAGUCUCUUCCCCCUGCAGUGAGCAUUUGCAUGGAUAAUACCUAUGAAUUCUAAUGUGAGCUACACAUUGUGUGAAACAAUGUCGCUAUUUAAAAAAAUGCAUCUGAGAGCCUGUUCAGGAGACUGAUUUCUGUUUAGUAAAUGGAGAAAAAUAUUGUGCAAAAAGAAAGUUCUUUAGUCUUAGAAAUGUUUUAUAAUAAAAUGAAAUGAAAUUUUGUUUUCA
This 494-nucleotide long non-coding RNA is filed under the name Coturnix japonica (Japanese quail). Its description in RNAcentral is "lncRNA (ENSCJPG00005012119.1)". Lineage: Eukaryota; Metazoa; Chordata; Aves; Galliformes; Phasianidae. The record is from RNAcentral.